This 4112-nucleotide long non-coding RNA is filed under the name Cinara cedri. The record is from RNAcentral. Lineage: Eukaryota; Metazoa; Arthropoda; Insecta; Hemiptera; Aphididae.
UUUUUUUUUUGUACCUGUGUAAAGUUUUUGUGUAUUAUCACCUCUGGUGUAGUAUAUAAUAUUAUUAUGUGUACGAUUAAGGAUUUUUUGCCGUUCGUUUUCCUAUCGGGAUCGAACCAUUAUAUUUAAGGUUAUUUUUUUCUUUUCGUCUAAAAUAAGUGACGUGCGCAAGUAAGUGUACAAUAGUAGUGCGGAUCUUCACGGAGUCGGAUUGCGCAUUAGGUGCAGAAUUCAUUAUAAUCGUUAAGUAUAUGAGAUAAGGGAUGGAAAAAAAAAAUUAUAAAAUCGUUGAUAGGACGAUAAUAGUAUAUAGUGUGGGUAGGUAUUAUUAGUCUUCUAUUAAAUAAAUAGUUUUUUUUUUUUUUUUUAAUAAAAAAAAACGAUACCAACGAUAAUGACAAUGCAGUUUAUUUCAUUUGUAUACCACCACCAAUCAGAUAACUGUACAAUUUUAACAACCCUCCUCUCCCCCCCUCUCCCAUCGGGCGAGAGGAAUACACUCGACAUUUUGUAUUAUUAUUAUUAUUAUUGUUUUUUUUUUUUUUUUUUUUCUUAGUUUUGUAUCUAGUCAAGAGUCGAAAAUUAACAACUGUCUAACGUAGUAUAAAUUUAAUAAUAAAACGUAACAUGUAAUGGAAAACAAAAUUCAAACUACUCUGGAUCCCUAUUUCGUAGUGACACAAGUUAUGUUUCAUACACAUUUUGUUUUUAUUUAUUUAGCACUUUUUUUUUUUUUUUAGUUAGCGUUUUUUUCAUUAUUUAGUUAAUUUUGGUUUUUCUCGUUCGUGUAUAGUCAUAUAUUAUGUGUAUUCUGUGUACCUAUAUAAUAUAUUUUAGCAAUAAUUUAAUAUUCGAUAACGGCAUCACGUUUUUUUUUUUUUUUUUUUUUUUCUACAUUAAUUUUAUAAUUUUUAAAUCGUUUUAAGUUUGUCGGGGCAGAAGAAAGCCUAGAGAAAUACGCGUCUUAUUGGUAUGAAUUCUUUUUGGUUUAUUUUUUUUCCGCGCCGAGUCGCGUUUUUUCUUAUAGUGCGAGAUGUAUUUUCUUCUCGGGUCGAAACGUCACGUGUGCGUACGGAGAGGGGAUGGGGGGAAAUUGAAAAAAAAAAAAAGAACGAAAUAGAAUAUCGCGGUAUAAUGCAUAAUUAUAAAAGCGAGAGGAGGAAAUCACGUCGUUUAUGCGGCGGGUCGUAUCGCUUCGGACGAAAAAAAUUGUGUUCAAAAUGAUUACCGGCUGUACGUUCGGAUAAUACAAUAAUAAUUGACGUUACACAUAAUUGUUAUAAAAUUACCGAUGCGGGGGGAAAAAAAAAUUAAUAAUUUUCUACGUUAUUUCGGUGGACAUAAUAAGAAAAAUUAAAAUCUCCUCGGAUUUCGCAAUCUAACCCGUUACAAUAUCCAAUUAAUUGUUGGGCGUCGAAUAUAAUUUAGUGCGUUUUGAAACGGAAAACGAAAAAAUGAAAAAGACGUUUUUGUAUAUAUUAUGUAUUAAACAAUUAUGCGGCUCGCGAGAAUAUCGCACAUUAUUAUGUAAAAUACGCGGUCGUUUUUAAAAAAAAAAAAAUUAAUGAUACAUUUUUUUUCCAACGAUCUCUCGAGAGUAAAAUCUGUCGUUUACGUAUACGUAAAAUCGCAUUUUACUUUAAACCCCGGUCGAAUGAUAUAACAAUACAGGUACGAUGGCUAUUUUGUGGAUACGUGCGCGUGAAUUCGUUCACCGGUCGCGUAUUAUAGUUUUGAAAAUCAUUUUCAUCGCUUGCAGUCACAACCGAAAUACGUCCACCGGUUGCCAUCGUACUUAGCCCAGAUUUUAAUCACCAUCUCGGCUAUUUCUCUCUCUCUCUCUCUCUCUCUCUCUCUAUCUAUCUAUCUAUCUCGUGCUCAACCUUAUCCUCGUAGUAUUACUAUAAGUAUCCCCCCCCCAAAAAAAAAAACAAAAUUUACCGAAAAAAUCUACCCGUAUCCAGUUCGAUUUAAUUUCCUCCUCCCAACCCCGAACUCAUCGCCCGAACUCGCGUUUAUUUUCCCAUUGUCGGUAAGGUUUUCAUUUUUUCCUCUUCUCUUUGUUUAACGCAAUAACUAUUAUUAUUAUUAUUACGUACCGCGACGGUUAUUCGAUUUCGUUUCGCGUCGAAUUCAUAAAAUACUAUUAUAGAUGCAUCGCGUGUGUGUAUUUGUGUGUGUGUGUGUGUGUGUGUAUGUGUGUUAUCGUCGUUGAAAAAUUUAAGUAGUAAAAUACGAGUUUAUAAUUCUUAAUAGACACGUACGAGCGUAGUAUAAUAUAAUAUGUAUUCGGCAUAGACGACAUUAGGGUGGUUUAAAAAAAAAAAAAAAAAAAAAUAGUUUAUAGCGAGUGAAUCGUAAACAAUAAUAAUUUUAUACUUGUUUGCUAAACUUAAUAAUAUGAUAAACGUAAUAAUUUAAUGGUUACACAAAAAAUAUUUCAUAAGAGUGAAGUAAGAGAAUAUAAAUAUUCGACUAACAACGAUUUUUGGAAAUUUUAAAUUUAUAUAAAUUAGGUGCAUGUAAUGGAAUUAUUGUAAAAGCGUCUGUAUUUAAAGUACAAAAAAAAAAAAAAAAAAAAAAUUGAAAUGAAAUACAAAUUUUAAUAUCACCUGUCCAUUAUAGGUUUAUUAUUAUUAUGACGUGUUUUAGUUUGGCUAUUAUUAUAAUUAUAUUAUAUACGAAAAAAAAAAAAUGUUUAUUAAAAAGUGUGUUGGUAAUGUUGAUCGGAUAAGUUAGUUUUUUUUUUUUUUUAUUUUAAUAUUGUAGUUAUUAUAAAAUAUUAAGGCAUAAUUACAAUGUGUUCCAUACCCCCAAUGUGUCAAGAACUCAUAUUUCUCUUCCCCUUUUGCAUAGAUACAUAUUGUUAUAUUUAUAAAAACGAUAGUUCAAAAAAAAAAAAAAAAAAGUUUAUUAUGUCCAAGACAGGAAACAUCCUUCCUAAAUAUUUAUUGUUUGUUUUUUUUUUACUAUUAAUAGUGUUUUAGAUAAUUUGUUACGCAUUCGUUUUUUUUUUUUUUUUUUACAUUAUAUUACCAUUUUAAUUACCUAAUAACUUUAUUAAUAUUGUAGAUUUUCUCAAAAAUGUAGAUUUUUUUUUUUGUUUGUUUUGUUUUUGCUUUCAUAUCAGUAUGAUGAUGAUAUAAUAUAUAUAUAUAUAUAUAUAUAUGUAUAUUAUAUAUUAUAAGAAAAAAACUUAAAAUAAAAAUAAUGAAACCAAUCGUUGUUUUUUGCGUGCUAAUACACGGAAAGACGAUAUGAAUUUAAAAAAAAAAAAAAAAAACAAAAGAAAAAAAAAAAAAAUAAUACUAAAAAACGUCUCCGGGUGUAGUACCGCGUGAACGCUUAUAUAGAAAGAAAAAAAAUGUUCCUAAAUUGUUUAUUAUACUUUCCUGAUAAUGACACGAUAACGAUAAUAUUAUUAGGUAUACUAUAUUAUGUUUUUCGGUCCCUAAUAAUUUAUAAUUACAUAUUAUUCGGUUUAUAAAUCAUAUAUUUACGCAUUAUUAUAUUUGUAUCGUUUAAGGCAGUUUAUGUAAUUUUUUUUUUUUUUUUCUGUUAUAUUAUUACACAUUUGUGUUUAACAAUUUAUAAUAUUAUACGUAUUAUGUAAUCAUUGUUUAGACGUAUCAUAAUAAUAAAAUAACAAUAACGUGUCUACUAAUUCUUGCAGAAGUGUUUUUUUUUUUUUGUUUUUUACGUUUAUUAUUAUUAUUAUUAUUGUUCAUUUGUUUCUUCCUCGUGAUAUCCCCCUCUCAAUUAUAUUAUUAUAUUGUCCUCCAGCGCUACAUCAAAAAUACAUAAUAUGAUAAUAAUAGUAUGUUUGAUGUUUCAUAGUUGUUGUAUAAUUGUUUAUUAUUAUUAUUAUUAUUUUUUUUUUUUUUUUUUUUUUUUUAGUUAGUUUGUGUGGAUAAUAUUAUACAUAUACGAUUAUUUUUAUGCGGGGACUGGAGAACGCACUAUAAGUUAUUAUAUUAUAUAGAGUAAUAUAUUUAUAAUAAUUACUAUAAUCAUAAAAUUAAUAAUAAUAUAAUAUCACAACAAUAUUUUAUAAUAAUAUUAUGCUAUUAUAUAUAUAUAUAUUAAAAAAAAAAAAAAAAAAACCAUUACAG